UACGAAGGGGGCUAGCGUUGUUCGGAAUUACUGGGCGUAAAGCGUGCGCAGGCGGUCUCUCAAGUCAGGGGUGAAAGCCCAGAGCUCAACUCUGGAACUGCCCUUGAAACUGUGAGGCUCGAGUACGGGAGAGGUGAGUGGAAUUCCCAGCGUAGAGGUGAAAUUCGUAGAUAUUGGGAAGAACACCGGUGGCGAAGGCGGCUCACUGGCCCGUUUCUGACGCUCAUGCACGAUAGCGUGGGGAUCAAACAGG
Molecule: ribosomal RNA, 253 nt
Filed under: uncultured bacterium
Lineage: Bacteria
Description: partial 16S ribosomal RNA
Rfam family: Bacterial small subunit ribosomal RNA
Source: RNAcentral